RNAcentral lists this unclassified non-coding RNA (367 nucleotides) under Hevea brasiliensis (rubber tree). Lineage: Eukaryota; Viridiplantae; Streptophyta; Magnoliopsida; Malpighiales; Euphorbiaceae. The record is from RNAcentral.
CCUAAUAAAUGAUGGGUCCUGUAAAUCUGGGAAGAUGCAAAAUGGCACUGUGGCUAACACGUGCAGCUUUGAGGAUCCAGUGGUCUGGGAUGGAAAACCUCAUGCACUUGUCAGUUCAGACAGUAGUGCCAAGGUACCUUUGUGUGGGAACAACAUUUCCCAUAGUUCUUACCCUACAAAUGGGGAUAAUCUAAAUGUAGAUAGUAGAGAUGAUGACGAAAACUCUUCUGGGUGUACUCACCCUCGCACCACAAAAAAAUUCUUUAGGCCAGCGCCACGUAUUGGAGAUCGAAGAAUAAGGAAAAUAGUGGCUUCUAAAUACUGGAAAGUAGCUCCCAGAUUGAAGGGUGUGACACUUUUUUACACU